Molecule: ribosomal RNA, 685 nt
Filed under: uncultured bacterium
Lineage: Bacteria
Description: bacterial SSU rRNA
Rfam family: Bacterial small subunit ribosomal RNA
Source: RNAcentral
AGUCGACGAGCGAGAGGAGCUUGCUUUCUCAGCGAGUGGCGAACGGGUGAGUAACGCGUGAGGAACCUGCCUCAAAGAGGGGGACAACAGUUGGAAACGACUGCUAAUACCGCAUAAGCCCACGGCUCGGCAUCGAGCAGAGGGAAAAGGAGCAAUCCGCUUUGAGAUGGCCUCGCGUCCGAUUAGUUAGUUGGUGAGGUAACGGCCCACCAAGGCAACGAUCGGUAGCCGGACUGAGAGGUUGAACGGCCACAUUGGGACUGAGACACGGCCCAGACUCCUACGGGAGGCAGCAGUGGGGAAUAUUGCACAAUGGGGGAAACCCUGAUGCAGCGACGCCGCGUGGAGGAAGAAGGUCUUCGGAUUGUAAACUCCUGUUGUUGGGGAAGAUAAUGACGGUACCCAACAAGGAAGUGACGGCUAACUACGUGCCAGCAGCCGCGGUAAAACGUAGGUCACAAGCGUUGUCCGGAAUUACUGGGUGUAAAGGGAGCGCAGGCGGGAAGACAAGUUGGAAGUGAAAUCUAUGGGCUCAACCCAUAAACUGCUUUCAAAACUGUUUUUCUUGAGUAGUGCAGAGGUAGGCGGAAUUCCCGGUGUAGCGGUGGAAUGCGUAGAUAUCGGGAGGAACACCAGUGGCGAAGGCGGCCUACUGGGCACCAACUGGCGCUGAGGCUCGAAAGUG